AAUAAACCAAAUUUUCACUUUUUAUCUUCAAUUUUUGACUCUUCGUCUUAUUAAAAAAAUUUGCGAUUGAUAUUUUUGUUUUUAUUAGAUGAUAAAUCAUGAAUAGUACUUUAUGUGUGACUAAUUUUUUUUCUAAUUUUCUGAAGUUCUUUUAAAAAAGACGGAUGGUUAAACGUUGGACACAGAAACCGGAGAAUUCGUUUUUU
RNAcentral lists this microRNA precursor (206 nucleotides) under Oryza brachyantha (malo sina). RNAcentral's name for it is "MIR812 microRNA precursor family". It matches the Rfam family "MIR812 microRNA precursor family". Lineage: Eukaryota; Viridiplantae; Streptophyta; Magnoliopsida; Poales; Poaceae. The record is from Rfam by way of RNAcentral.